CUACGGGUGGCUCCAGUGAGGAAUAUUGCACAAUGGGGGGAACCCUGACGCGGCAACGCCGCGUGGAGGAUGACGCAUUUCGGUGUGUAAACUCCUUUUAUAUGUCAAGAAAAUGACGGUAGCAUAUGAAUAAGCACCGGCUAACUCCGUGCCAGCAGCCGUGGUAAUACGGAGGGUGCAAGCGUUACUCGGAAUCACUGGGCGUAAAGGACGCGUAGGCGGGUUGGAAAGUCAGGUGUGAAAUCCUACAGCUUAACUGUAGAACUGCACUUGAAACUUCUAAUCUAGAGUAUGGGAGGGGGAGAUGGAAUUAGUGGUGUAGGGGUAAAAUCCGUAGAUAUCACUAGGAAUACCUAAAGCGAAGGCGAUCUCCUGGAACAUUACUGACGCUAAGGCGUGAAAGCGUGGGGAGCAAACAGGAUUAGAUACCCUCGUAGUC
This 439-nucleotide ribosomal RNA is filed under the name uncultured bacterium. Its description in RNAcentral is "partial 16S ribosomal RNA". It matches the Rfam family "Bacterial small subunit ribosomal RNA", at positions 339 to 795 of the family's 1533-position model. The record is from RNAcentral.